GCCCGGUUAGCUCAGAUGGUAGAGCAUCAGACUUUUAAUCUGAGGGUCAUAGGUUCGAGCACCAUAUCGGGCG
Nematostella vectensis (starlet sea anemone) is the source of this 73-nucleotide non-coding RNA. The record is from Rfam. NCBI's taxonomy places the organism in Eukaryota, Metazoa, Cnidaria, Anthozoa, Actiniaria, Edwardsiidae.